RNAcentral lists this ribosomal RNA (741 nucleotides) under uncultured bacterium. Its description in RNAcentral is "bacterial SSU rRNA". It matches the Rfam family "Bacterial small subunit ribosomal RNA", at positions 8 to 796 of the family's 1533-position model. The record is from RNAcentral.
AGAGUUUGAUCCUGGCUCAGAACGAACGCUGGCGGCAGGCUUAACACAUGCAAGUCGAACGGGCCCUUCGGGGUCAGUGGCAGACGGGUGAGUAACACGUGGGAACGUACCCUUUUGUUCGGAAUAACCCAGGGAAACUUGGGCUAAUACCGGAUACGCCCUUCUGGGGAAAGAUUUAUCGCAGAAGGAUCGGCCCGCGUCUGAUUAGCUAGUUGGUGAGGUAAAGGCUCACCAAGGCGACGAUCAGUAGCUGGUCUGAGAGGAUGAUCAGCCACACUGGGACUGAGACACGGCCCAGACUCCUACGGGAGGCAGCAGUGGGGAAUAUUGGACAAUGGGCGCAAGCCUGAUCCAGCCAUGCCGCGUGAGUGAUGAAGGCCUUAGGGUUGUAAAGCUCUUUCGGCGGGGACGAUAAUGACGGUACCCGCAGAAGAAGCCCCGGCUAACUUCGUGCCAGCAGCCGCGGUAAUACGAAGGGGGCUAGCGUUGUUCGGAAUCACUGGGCGUAAAGGGCGCGUAGGCGGCUUUGUAAGUCGGGGGUGAAAGCCUGUGGCUCAACCACAGAAUUGCCUUCGAUACUGCAUGGCUUGAGACCGGAAGAGGUAAGUGGAACUGCGAGUGUAGAGGUGAAAUUCGUAGAUAUUCGCAAGAACACCAGUGGCGAAGGCGGCUUACUGGUCCNNNNCUGACGCUGAGGCGCGAAAGCGUGGGAGCAAACAGGAUUAGAUACCCNNGUAGUCC